Molecule: ribosomal RNA, 253 nt
Filed under: uncultured bacterium
Lineage: Bacteria
Description: partial 16S ribosomal RNA
Rfam family: Bacterial small subunit ribosomal RNA
Source: RNAcentral
UACGUAGGGUCCAAGCGUUAUCCGGAAUUACUGGGUUUAAAGGGUGCGUCGGCGGUUUAGUAAGUUUGGGGUGAAAGUCUGUCGCUUAACGAUAGAAUUGCCUUGGAUACUGCUAAACUAGAGUAUAUGAGAGGAAAGCGGAAUUCGUGGUGUAGCGGUGAAAUGCGUAGAUAUAACGUAGAACACCGAUUGCGAAGGCAGCUCACUAAACUAAUAUUGACGCUGAUGGACGAAAGCGUGGGGAGCGAACAGG